Molecule: ribosomal RNA, 509 nt
Filed under: Yamadazyma lessepsii
Lineage: Eukaryota; Fungi; Ascomycota; Pichiomycetes; Serinales; Debaryomycetaceae
Description: eukaryotic LSU rRNA
Rfam family: Eukaryotic large subunit ribosomal RNA
Source: RNAcentral
UAUCACUAACGAGUAGCAAUCUGACCCUCUUCGGCGUCCGAGUUGUAACAUUGAAGAAGGUAUCUUUGGUUUUGGCUCUUGUCUAUGUUCCUUGACAACAGGACGUCACAGAGGGUGAGAAUCCCGUGCACUGAGAUGCCCAAUUCCAUGUAAAGUUCCUUCGACGAGUCGAGUUGUUUGGGAAUGCAGCUCUAAGUGGGUGGUAAAUUCCAUCUAAAGCUAAAUAUUGGCGAGAGACCGAUAGCGAACAAGUACUGUGAAGGAAAGAUGAAAAGAACUUUGAAAAGAGAGUGAAAAAGUACGUGAAAUUGUUGAAAGGGAAGGGCUUGAGAUCAGACUUGGAAUUUUCCAGCAAUGGAGCUUUCCGGGCCAGCAUCAGUUUGGAUGGCAGGAUAAUUGCGUAGGAAAGUGGCACCACCUCGGUGGUGUGUUAUAGCCUGCGUCGAUACUGCCUAUCUAGACUGAGGACUGCGUCUUUGACUAGGAUGCUGGCAUAAUGAUCUUAAGCC